GGACUACGGGGGUAUCUAAUCCAUUUUGCGCCCCUAGCCUUCAUCCUUUACUGUCAGAACUGUCCUCGUGGAAUGCCUUCGCUAUUGUGAGUCUGCUCAAGAUUAACACAUUUUACCGCUACUUUGAACAUACUUUCCACGUCUUCCAGUCUCUAGCUUAGCAGUAUUCCUUGCACGCCUCGCCCUUAAGAGACGAGAUUUCACAAGGAACUUAUUAAGCAAGCUACGGAUGUUUUAGACCCAAUAAUGAUGGCUGCGACUUGGACCGCUAGUAUUACCGCGGCGGCUGGCACUAGUCUUGCCCAGUCCUUAUUCGCCAAAAUUUUUAGAUUUGGCAAAAGCUUUUCAAUUGAAAAGCACUCUGGCUCGCUUUGUCACGCUUGCGCGCAUUGCAAAAGAUUCCUAACUGCUGCACCCCAUAGG
This 423-nucleotide ribosomal RNA is filed under the name uncultured archaeon. RNAcentral describes it as "partial 16S ribosomal RNA". The record is from RNAcentral.